UUUACUUAGGUCUGUGGUUGAAAGUCGAUGCUAGUCGCAGGCAAAGCGAUCCACGUAAGGUAGUACAAACUACUGAUCAUGGUGCGGCUUAGAAGUGAGUCCUACCUAGAGAAUUAUACAUAUAGUUAAUUUAUCUAGAGAGGAGUAUUAGUGGGAAAAUCCUGCAAACCUCCCAGUAGGCAGGUGUGGGGUCAAAAAAUCAGGUCAGCUAAGUAAA
This 217-nucleotide non-coding RNA is filed under the name unclassified sequences. RNAcentral's name for it is "raiA RNA". It matches the Rfam family "raiA RNA". The record is from Rfam by way of RNAcentral.